UCCGGGAGGACCAUCUCCCAAGGCUAAAUACUCCCUAGUGACCGAUAGUGAACCAGUACCGUGAGGGAAAGGUGAAAAGCACCCCGGAAGGGGAGUGAAACAGUUCCUGAAACCGUGUGCCUACAAGUAGUUAGAGCCCGUUAAUGGGUGAUAGCGUGCCUUUUGUAGAAUGAACCGGCGAGUUACGAUUUGUUGCAAGGUUAAGCGGAAAAAGCGGAGCCGUAGCGAAAGCGAGUCUGAAUAGGGCGCAUAAGUAACAGGUCGUAGACCCGAAACCAGGUGAUCUACCCAUGUCCAGGAUGAAGGUAAGGUAAUACUUACUGGAGGUCCGAACCCACGCACGUUGAAAAGUGCGGGGAUGAGGUGUGGGUAGCGGAGAAAUUCCAAUCGAACUUGGAGAUAGCUGGUUCUCUCCGAAAUAGCUUUAGGGCUAGCCUCGAGGUAAAGAGUCAUGGAGGUAGAGCACUGUUUGGACUAGGGGCCCUUCUCGGGUUACCGAAUUCAGAUAAACUCCGAAUGCCAUGUACUUAUACUCGGGAGUCAGACUGCGAGUGAUAAGAUCCGUAGUCGAAAGGGAAACAGCCCAGACCACCAGUUAAGGUCCCCAAAUAUAUGUUAAGUGGAAAAGGAUGUGGGGUUGCUUAGACAACCAGGAUGUUGGCUUAGAAGCAGCCACCAUUGAAAGAGUGCGUAAUAGCUCACUGGUCGAGUGACCCCGCGCCGAAAAUGUACCGGGGCUAAACAUAUUACCGAAACUGUGGAUGAACCUCUUCGGAGGUUCGUGGUAGGAGAGCGUUCUAAGGGCGGUGAAGUCAGACCGGAAGGACUGGUGGAGCGCUUAGAAGUGAGAAUGCCGGUAUGAGUAGCGAAAGAAGGGUGAGAAUCCCUUCCACCGAAUAUCUAAGGUUUCCUGAGGAAGGCUCGUCCGCUCAGGGUUAGUCGGGACCUAAGCCGAGGCCGAUAGGCGUAGGCGAUGGACAACAGGUAGAGAUUCCUGUACCAGUGCUAAUUGUUUAACCGAUGGGGUGACACAGAAGGAUAGGGAAUCGCACGAAUGGAAAUGUGCGUCCAAGCAGUGAGUGUGAGAAGUAGGCAAAUCCGCUUCUCGCGAAGCAUGAGCUGUGAUGGGGAAGGAAAUUAAGUACGGAAGUUCCUGAUUUCACGCUGUCAAGAAAAGCCUCUAGGAAGAGUAGUACUGCCCGUACCGCAAACCGACACAGGUAGAUGAGGAGAGAAUCCUAAGGUGAGCGAGAGAACUCUCGUUAAGGAACUCGGCAAAAUGACCCCGUAACUUCGGGAGAAGGGGUGCUCUAUUAGGGUGCAAGCCCGAGAGAGCCGCAGUGAAUAGGCCCAGGCGACUGUUUAGCAAAAACACAGGUCUCUGCAAAACCGUAAGGUGACGUAUAGGGGCUGACGCCUGCCCGGUGCUGGAAGGUUAAGAGGAGUGCUUAGCUUCGGCGAAGGUACGAAUUGAAGCCCCAGUAAACGGCGGCCGUAACUAUAACGGUCCUAAGGUAGCGAAAUUCCUUGUCGGGUAAGUUCCGACCCGCACGAAAGGCGCAACGAUCUGGGCACUGUCUCAACGAGAGACUCGGUGAAAUUAUAGUACCUGUGAAGAUGCAGGUUACCCGCGACAGGACGGAAAGACCCCGUGGAGCUUUACUGCAACCUGAUAUGGAAUGUUUGUACCGCUUGUACAGGAUAGGUAGGAGCCGAAGAGACGUGUGCGCUAGCAUACGAGGAGGCAAUGGUGGGAUACUACCCUGGCUGUAUGACCAUUCUAACCCGCCACGCUUAGCGCGUGGGGAGACAGUGUCAGGUGGGCAGUUUGACUGGGGCGGUCGCCUCCUAAAGAGUAACGGAGGCGCCCAAAGGUUCCCUCAGAAUGGAUGGAAAUCAUUCGCAGAGUGUAAAGGCACAAGGGAGCUUGACUGCGAGACUGACAAGUCGAGCAGGGACGAAAGUCGGGCUUAGUGAUCCGGUGGUUCCGCAUGGAAGGGCCAUCGCUCAACGGAUAAAAGCUACCCCGGGGAUAACAGGCUUAUCUCCCCCAAGAGUCCACAUCGACGGGGAGGUUUGGCACCUCGAUGUCGGCUCGUCGCAUCCUGGGGCUGUAGUCGGUCCCAAGGGUUGGGCUGUUCGCCCAUUAAAGCGGCACGCGAGCUGGGUUCAGAACGUCGUGAGACAGUUCGGUCCCUAUCCGUCGCGGGCGCAGGAAAUUUGAGAGGAGCUGUCCUUAGUACGAGAGGACCGGGAUGGACACACCGCUGGUGUACCAGUUGUUCCGCCAGGAGCAUCGCUGGGUAGCUAUGUGUGGCAGGGAUAAACGCUGAAAGCAUCUAAGCGUGAAGCCCCCCUCAAGAUGAGAUUUCCCAUUUCUUCGGAAAGUAAGAUCCCUGAAAGAUGAUCAGGUAGAUAGGUUUGGAGUGGAAGUGUAGCGAUACAUGGAGCGGACAAAUACUAAUCGAUCGAGGACUUAACCAAAA
Molecule: ribosomal RNA, 2486 nt
Filed under: Listeria monocytogenes
Lineage: Bacteria; Bacillati; Bacillota; Bacilli; Caryophanales; Listeriaceae
Description: partial 23S ribosomal RNA
Rfam family: Bacterial large subunit ribosomal RNA
Source: RNAcentral